GGGCUGGCUCUGGCAGCACAUAUAGUAAAAUUGAAAUGAAACAGAGAAGAUUAGCAUGGCCCCACGUGCAAGGAUGCCAUGCACUUUUGUGAAGCAUUCCAUAUUAAA
Molecule: small nuclear RNA, 108 nt
Organism: Capra hircus (goat)
Lineage: Eukaryota; Metazoa; Chordata; Mammalia; Artiodactyla; Bovidae
Source: Ensembl